AUGACAUAUCUGCUCGGAGUUCCAUGUCUCUCAGUUCCAACCCUUCCAGCCUCUGUGAGAGGAGAGCACCAGAAGAGCAAGGGAGUGAAGUGUUCCUUGAUUAGAAAAGCCAAACGAGGAGACAACAGGUCUGGAAGGGCCUUGUCCUCACGGGAUUCACAGAAGCGAAAUGGGGUGAUGGGCAGAAGCUGUACUGCUGCCUACAGCAACAGAAUGCAAGUGACUCAGAGACAAAGUUUGCGGACAGAAUCUUCUGCAUUUGGGAGUGCAGUUAUCUCAGACAAAUAUAAAACCCUACAAAUGCAAAGCCCCGUCAAUGGCUUCCUCCUGCUAAGGUGACUUUCUGUCAUACUUACUUUCAUCUACUAUUGUGGUUAAAAUGCCAAGGGCUAAUUUUAAUACCAGCUUAUAAGACAACCUAACAGAUUGCUUCCCAACUUUUUUUUACCUGAAAGUAUACUUUUAUUUGUUUCCUCUCACAAUCUACCAGCUUUUAAAGAUUUUUGUGUACUUAAACUGUAUCUAAAAGCUCAUAAUUAAUUUUUCAUUUUUAUUUGUUUUUUGAAAUUCUGCUUGUCAGUUUCUAAUCAGAAAAUGAUAAGCUGUUACCCUAAGAUGUUGUGUAGUUGCAGCCAAGAGCAGAGAAACAUAGCAUUAACCCUGUGGGUGUUGAUCAUCAGAAAUACAUAUGACUGUAAUUAGGGUCUUUGAAAUACGGAAAGCAGCUCCUAGGAACUUACGCUGGGCUGGAGGAGGGUUAAGUCUGAGAAUCACAUCAGGCUGCACACUGGGACCAACUGGGCAGCUUAAAACACUGGGGCUUAAACCCCUUUCAGACCAAGUAAAUUAAAAUUUCUGGACCCUGGAGAGAUUUCAAUGCAUGGUUAGGAUGAAAACCACUAACAGAAAGGUUGGCGCUAUAGUGUAGUAGAUAAAGCCACUGCCUGCAGUGCCAGCAUCCCAUAUGCUGCUCCAUUUCUGAUCCACCUCCCUGCUAGUAUGCAUGGGAAAACAGUGGAAGAUGUGCACUCAAUGUGGCAGUCCCAGAAGAAGCUCCUGGCUCCUGGCUUCAGAUCAGCUAAGCUCCCACAACUGCAGUCAUCUGGGGAGUGAACCAGCAGAUGGAAGAUCUCUCUCUCUGUCUCUUCUUCUCUCUCUCUCUCUCUCUAACUCUGUCUUUAAAAUAAAUAAAUAAAUCUCUUUUUUUUACUUUUUUUA
RNAcentral lists this long non-coding RNA (1218 nucleotides) under Oryctolagus cuniculus (rabbit). RNAcentral describes it as "lncRNA (ENSOCUG00000035266.1)". Lineage: Eukaryota; Metazoa; Chordata; Mammalia; Lagomorpha; Leporidae. The record is from RNAcentral.